Molecule: RNA transcript, 5032 nt
Organism: Fukomys damarensis (Damara mole-rat)
Lineage: Eukaryota; Metazoa; Chordata; Mammalia; Rodentia; Bathyergidae
Gene: Ankrd10
Gene name: ankyrin repeat domain 10
Exons: 2
Source: RefSeq, a predicted model, not a curated record
AAACUCCCAUUCACAAAGCUGCCCGCUCCGGAAGCCUGGAGUGCCUCAGCGCCCUGGUGGCAAACGGGGCUCACACCGAGUAAGUGUCUUCAAUUCUUCUCCCAACUAGACGUUAGUCCAUGUUGUGUUGAGAGGCAGCAUUUAGAGCAAGCAAAGGCCCCAAGGAGCUUUGCCUUCCGGUUAUUGCUGUUAGUGAGGGCAGCUGUAGGUGAAUUCGAGCGAGCACUCGCAGGAGGAGCUGUAUCCCAACAGCCUUAGGCUGCCUGUCACGAAUCAGGCAAGGGCAGUCAGCUCACCAGACGUGGACUAGACCUUGCACUCACUGGUCCUUUCACCAUGGCCGGUCUUCCCACUUCCCUUUGCCAGGUUUUAAUUUCUAACUAAGGGCUUGGAUUGGAAUAUCCUUGCAGGCCUCUCUGGCUCAAGACUAUGGGCUUCUCUAAAUUUUGGUUCCUCAUCUUAGCAGAUGUAGGAAGGUUAUGUUUUACAGCCUGUUACAACUUAAGGAUUUGUAGUGCGUUGUAAACAGGCCUGUUGAGACUUGAGAGCCCUUGACAUGACAACUCAGAGAUCCUUGUUUAUCCUCAUAUACACCAGCUAGCUUGUUUAUAGUCUGAUAAAGCAACCUUAAUUUCAAGUGAUCUCUAGAACUGUGAUUUUGUAUGCAAAUCAUUAACUAUGGCAUUAUACAUGUAUUUAUUAGAUUUGUUUCAACUUUUUUUAAAGAUUAUAUAAUGAAAUCUUUUCUUCACAGUUCACAGAAUUAACAAAAUGGAUGUGGUUUUUCACCCUUAAAUGUUGAGUAUAAGCUAUACAGCUGUAAUAAUCAAAAUAAUACUAGCUUUCUUUUGUCUUACCUUGUGUUGUGGAAUUUAUGAAAUUAAGUAGAAACCACUUACUCUAAUUGGAAACAUGAAAUUUUAGAUUUGGGGAGAUGUAAACUCCAGAACUAACCUAGUUUAACCCUUUGGUUUCCAUGUCGUUGUUUUGACUCUGUGUAACAGUAAGUCUUUUUAGAUCCUGGACAACAAACCAUGCAGGUCAGUGCAAGGCGCGGCUCCAUAGGAGAGGUUGUCGCCGGCCUCCCCGGGUCUUAGCUUCUGUCUCGCUGAGCCUUGUGGGGCUUGGACCCUUUACUUACGGCGUGAGUCAUAGCCUGUUAACCGCCACGAUGCAGGGACCCUUGUGACUUAACACGCAGUUAUGACUUAAGGUAAAGUAAGAAGAAUUGGUAACGUGGGUCUGUAUCUACAGCCUUAAAACACUGAGGUGAUUCUCCACUAAUUGCUCUGCAGUUACAGAUGAAGUUUUAUUAGCUGUGUUUAGAUAAAAUACUCAAAUCCUUAAUUUUAACAAUAAGCUGUGAUUAUAAAAUAGUCACUUAUAAUUGAUUAAAUUGCUUAAUUAUCAUUAAUUGAAAUGGAUAAUUAGAAGUUGAUCUUUUAACAACUUAUUCUAAACAUUACUCUUAAUGGUCCUGAACAUUUUAUUACAAAGAUGGUAGUUUUACUUAUUUUAAUGGAUAGAUUAAUCCUUUGAGUCAGUAUCUAUCAUGAUGUCCUUUUUUCCAGUAGGUGUCUUUUUAAACAUGAGCAUCUUUUAUUUACGAUUCUGUCCUUGAUUACAGGACCCUCAAGUGUCUUUUCCACCAGGCGUGGCUGGGCAUGGCUCUCGGGCCAUCUGUGUCCCGUCCCAGUAUAAGAGCCUCCCCCCUCGAGACCCUGCAUUGUGGUGACUUCCCUGGACUGAGCGCUCAGAUUUUUUUAGAAGAAACAUUUAGCCUGAGCUGCCUAGCCAAAAGCAAUUCUUAAAAUUCUAAGUCUUUGGCCUGGAGAAAAAACUUAAGUAAUCAUUAUUUGUUGCUGUUGUAUAUGUGGUUUUUUAGAACAUCUAGAUAAAAUGUAAGUUUUGCUAGUAAGGUAAACUGAAAUGUUUCUUGGUGUCUGUUCUGCACCUUUUCAUAGUUUACCCCAUUUAGCCGAUCGGCAUAUAACAGUGUGAAUCCCCAGAAUAAUGGAGUUUGGGUCUGUUUUAUUUGUUCCCUGUAAGUGCUACGUUGUAUAGUUACAUACAGUCCUAACAAAGAAUACCUUUUUUAUAAGAAGGAUCAAAGACAUAGAACUCAUUCACUUAGCUACUUUUCUUUUCCUCAGUUCAGAAUGGGCUAGAUUGCAAUUCCUUAUUUUGCAUUCUCUAGUAUAAAUUAGCCUUUCUGGUGGAUGGACUAAAAUCUGCCUCAUACCACUAUUUUUAAAUUAAUAGUUUUGUUCUUAAUUCCUACUCAGCUUUUUAUAUAUGUGCUACGUUAGAGUGGCCAUGUCUAUCCUUGUGUGUGUUUGGUCAUCAGGUAGACAUAAUAAGGGCAGAGGUGAUGAGUAUCUGUGGCUAGAAUGGUUUGCUAUGUAACUUACUUGUUAAUGUAGGUUGCCACUGUAAGAUAACGCAUUUCAGCUGCUGUUCAUCGUAUUAAAUUUUCUAGCACUACACGUGAGUAUGUUAAUGGACUUUGUUUUCUUAAUUGAAAUCUUGAGUUUUGGUGCCAAGUUACAUUUUCUGUGUGUGUCCAUUUCUGGCCUGUGUGAUGGCUGUUAAUGUUUGCCAUCGCUUGCAUCUAAAACUGAAACCCACAGGAUCAGAUCUCUGUUCUGACCACACGUUUGCGUACGUUGCAUUAUCUAAGAGUGGUGUUUUCACCAUUAGGCUGUUGUAAUGCCCUUCAGCUGUCCUUGGGAGAGUUUCCUUUGCAGCCCGUGUUCACUGCCUGCUUCAUCGGGAGGGGCAGGAACUCAGAAGAGAAGGCAUAGUCUUACUUACGCGGUGGGUGACAGAACAGUGAGUAAGGUUAGGCCUUGAGGCAAUUUUGGAGAAAGAUUUAAAACUGUGUUGUCUGCUGAUAAUUAAGACCUUUUUGCUUCUAACCUGCUAAGAGCUUUGCCCCUGGGGUUAGUUUCACUGUAGGUAUUUUGGUACUUUGUGUCUUUCUGGAGAAAGUGGAGGGUGUUUCCAUAUUGACCAGCUGGACCAGUAUAACUGGUCUCUCUGUCCUCCUGAGCAGAAGUAAGAGACCUGACCUGGACACAGAAGCCAGAGUCACCUCUACCCAGGGCAGCUUGGCUGGUCCACUGCGUCCCCCAUUGUGUGAAGGGGCUGGUGCAUAGUGGUGGUCUCACCUCAGCAGGGGCUUGCUGUGGAAUCCCUGUAUCCCAAGCUAUUCAGGUGGAGUGGGCUGUUUGUUGAUGUAAGGACUUGGAUCCCGGAAUGCUAGGCUUUGGGAGAAACAGCUGUAGCCUGAGAUAGCAGGUAGGACAGUCUUCUUACCUCACUUGUGAGGCAGACACAAUUGUCUGGAGUGAUGGAAGUCUGAAAAUCCAUGUUGACACUUGCCUUAAUGCUGUGAAACUUGAGGCUGGAUUUUUAGAAAUUCUUAAUUAAAAUUAGAGUUGGUUUAGUUUGGUUCAAAAUUGGUGGACCUGUAUGACCCACAUUUAUUUUCUUAUGGAACCCUGCCUGGAAGUGGGAUUUCCACUGAGACAAAUGCAUCAGAUGAAUGCACAGCCCUGGUGUUAGAAAUGCACCGCAGAUUUGUCCUGGCAAAGGCGAGCCCAGAUCCACUAUUAGCCAUUCAUUUUGAGUGUGCGGUUUCUGUUGAGUCCCUUCGUUGCCCUUCAGAGUAACAGCGCUGUUAGAAGAUUUGUUAAAAUUAUGUCCCUGAUUAGUAUUCUGGUGUUGCAAAUGCUCUGAAUUCUGUCUUCGCAGCUUAGCACCUGCCUCCCUCAUCCGGUUGUUGUCACUGCUCUCUCGGUUGUGUCUUGCUUGUCUGCUCCCUGCCUGGGUGCAUGCUCUGGGUGGAGGGGUCACUUUCUGAGGUGCUGCCAUGGGAUGUCCACCAGUUGGGAGCAGAUGACAGAUUCACUGUGCUCCAGAGUCAUUUUGUUGGCAAAUUUGGUUUCAGAACUUUUAUUUUUCAUGACUGCUUGAAUAAUAUAUAGAUUCAGUAUUUCUUUAGCUACUGCUUUUAUAGACAGCGCUUUCAAAUUAAAUCAAUUUCUAAAUCCCAGUGUCUUUAUCCUUUGCUAAUUUAUAGUUGGAGCAUGUUAGGUAUUUCAUCAAACUCCUUGAAUGAUGCUCUUAGAUUUUAAUGUAUGCAAAUAUAACUGUGGUUCAGUUGUAACCUCAAACUAUUCUUGGUAGUACUGAACUUGAAAUGGAAACUUGGCACCAAAUUUAUUCAGGCAGAAACUUUUUCAUACAAUCGUUUCUUCCUGAUGUUAACUUGAAGAAUAUGUUUAUAAAACCUCAUUAAGUUUGGAUACCAAAGGGUUAAAAUUACACAUGUAUUUCUUUUACUUAAGAUACUUUAGAUGUUUGCUAAUGUUUUAUACAAAUGGGCAUUUAGUAAUGUUUUUAUCUUUUUUUUAAUGAUUCCAUUUAUUUGCUUAUUUCCAUCUAGGAAUAGUUACUAAUGUAUUUGUGAUACAGCAUACCAAAUUUUAAAGUAACCAGAAUCGUGAGUUGAUGGUUUUUUAGUCCAUACUGUUAAACUUUGUUGAAAUAUUGACAUAUUUGAAUUGGCUUCAUGCUGAAAUGACAAGAGGGAGCGUAGAGGGCAGUGAUGAGAGCGGGCACAGCCCGCCGCCUCAUGUGUGUAUGUAUUCUAAUCCAAUGUUGCCUGCAAUGUGAUCCCGUAUGAUUUAUAAGUUUCCUGUGUAUGAACCAUUGCCCGUUUUAAGUCACACAGAAGAUUCUGAAUCUAUAAAAACUACACAUGUCAAUGUUUUCCAGCUACGUAAUUCGAAUUGACUUGAUUUUUUCAAGUAAUCCUAGAAAGGGGGAGCAUUCCAUAUAGAAACUGCUGAAACUGCCACAGGUGCUUCUCCGAAACCUUACGGUUGUGGCAUUGAAUGUUCAGUAUCGCUUCCUUUCUGCACACAAGGCAUACUGUUGAGCCUGAGAAAUGCCAGCGGCCUGACGGCAGCAGACAUUGCCCAAACCCAGGGCUUCCAAGAGUGUACCCAGUUUCUCUUGAGCCUCC